GACGAACGCUGGCGGCGUGCUUAACACAUGCAAGUCGAACGGUGAAGGGACUGGUUUUGCUGGUCCUGGAUGAGUGGCGAACGGGUGAGUAACACGUGAGUAACCUGCCCCCUUCUUCUGGAUAACCGCAUGAAAGUGUGGCUAAUACGGGAUAUUCUGGGUCUGUCGCAUGGUGGGCCUGGGAAAGAUUGCGCCUUUUUUGGUGUUUUUGGCGGGGGAUGGGCUCGCGGCCUAUCAGCUUGUUGGUGGGGUGAUGGCCUACCAAGGCGGUGACGGGUAGCCGGCCUGAGAGGGUGGACGGUCACACUGGGACUGAGACGCGGCCCAGACUCCUACGGGAGGCAGCAGUGGGGAAUAUUGCACAAUGGGCGCAAGCCUGAUGCAGCGACGCCGCGUGAGGGAUGGAGGCCUUCGGGUUGUGAACCUCUUUCGCCAGUGAAGCAGGCCUGCCUCUUUUUGUGGGUGGGUUGACGGUAGCUGGAUAAGAAGCGCCGGCUAACUACGUG
Molecule: ribosomal RNA, 506 nt
Filed under: uncultured bacterium
Lineage: Bacteria
Description: partial 16S ribosomal RNA
Rfam family: Bacterial small subunit ribosomal RNA
Source: RNAcentral